CUACGGGCGGCAGCAGUCAAGAAUCUUCCCCAAUGCACGAAAGUGUGAGGGAGCGACGCCGCGUGACUGAUGAAGUCCUUCGGGAUGUAAAGGUCUUUUCUUAGGGACGAACGUUGACGGUACCUAAGGAAUAAGGGGCUGCUAAUCACGUGCCAGCAGCAGCGGUAUACGUGAGCCCCAAGCGUUAUCCGAAUUUAUUGGGCGUAAAGCGUCCGCAGGUGGUUUGAUAUGUCUUGCUUCAAAUCUUGGUGCUUAACAUCAAGACCGGGUGAGAAACUGUCAGACUAGAGGUUGGAAGGGGUUAGCGGAAUGGCUGGUGUAGGGGUAAAAUCCGUUAAUAUCAGCUGGAACACCAAAUGCGAAGGCAGCUAACUGGGACACACCUGACACUCAUGGACGAAAGCGUGGGUAGCGAACGGGAUUAGAUACCCUGGUAGUC
RNAcentral lists this ribosomal RNA (439 nucleotides) under uncultured bacterium. RNAcentral's name for it is "partial 16S ribosomal RNA". It matches the Rfam family "Bacterial small subunit ribosomal RNA", at positions 339 to 795 of the family's 1533-position model. The record is from RNAcentral.